CAUUUUUAUUAGAAAUCUCAGUGGAGGAAAGGAGGAAUUGAGAGCUAGUAAAUGUAUCAGUGGAUCUGAGAGAUGGGGUUUGCUAGUCUAGGGUUCAGUGAAGACCAGAUGGAGAAUUUGGGUUUUAGACAAAGAAGGAAUUUAGGGUUUCUGGAGUGCAGUUUGGGGUUAAUCAAUCUUGAGCAGGGAUAUAGAUGGGCAUUGCAGGUGAGACUUGUGAUGUUCAUUUGGUGGAAUUGUGUGAUGGAGAUUCACAAGGGAAGGAAUUGGUGUUGUGACAGAAUGGGUCAAGAAUGGAAAUGGAGGAAUCUCAUGGUGCAAUUGUGGUGAAGUUGAAGGUGACCUUUAACUACUCAAACGCGGUUUUCCAUUUCGAGCAUUUUAGCCCUUAACCCAAAAUGGAACUGGUAACUUUUUCCCAGUCUUUAUAAUGGGUAUCAUACUUCACUCUAAUCUUCAACAUCUCUUCAUUCUGUGUUUCUUUGGAAAUGGAGAUCAACCUAAAUAAUGAACCUGAACCAGAAUUUGAGAUCAUCAGCCCAGAAUGGGAAAGAGAAGAUGAUAGAAUUACACCUACAUUGCUGGGGAGGAGGCGUUCACGAAGACAGAGAGAUGAAAUUAACCAAAUGGAAGGAAAUACAUCAUCGGCUGAACCUAUGCAUGUUGAUCAUCAACAACACCCACAAACCCUCCAUCAACAGCACACAUCUCAGCAACUAUAGCUCUCUUCUUAUGUUAUCAAUGAGGCUGCUACUACUGAGUUGGCUCGUCAACUUUCCAAAGCGAAAGAGGAGUACCGGACUGAGCUUGCUGCUAAGAUCAAAGAAGGUGUGAAGGAGUUCAUUGAUAACAUAAGAAGAGAGCUAUAGUUGCUGCGAAGAAGUCGGGCUCGGGACCGAUUCCUUCGACCGAAUAAUCUGUACCUACUUAUAAUCUGGUAAUCUUCGUUCAGAUUCAUUUUGAACCUAAAUGUUACUGACAUUGUCUUAGGGAGUAAUAUAUGUAGGCUACUGUCAUUAUGUCUUUAUACCAUCAAUCCAACUUUAAGGGAGUGUUUUCUUACUUUCUUAUCUUUAGGUUAAGCUAUAUUACUUUGCUAACUCUGCACCUUGUUAUUUGGUUUAUGCAUGGGAGUUGAAUAAGUAAAUGCUGACAUAAUUGUGGAAAGUGAGGGCUUUUCUGGUAGUAUCAAGGGAAUGUAUUUUCGUGUCU
This is a long non-coding RNA of Papaver somniferum (opium poppy), 1212 nucleotides long. RefSeq lists it as uncharacterized. The record is from RefSeq and is a predicted model, not a curated record. Lineage: Eukaryota; Viridiplantae; Streptophyta; Magnoliopsida; Ranunculales; Papaveraceae. The transcript is spliced from 2 exons.